AUUGAACGCUGGCGGAAUGCUUUACACAUGCAAGUCGAACGGCAGCACGGACUUCGGUCUGGUGGCGAGUGGCGAACGGGUGAGUAAUGUAUCGGAACGUGCCCAGUCGUGGGGGAUAACGUAGUGAAAAUUACGCUAAUACCGCAUACGAUCUAUGGAUGAAAGCGGGGGAUCGCAAGACCUCGCGCGAUUGGAGCGGCCGAUAUCAGAUUAGGUAGUUGGUGGGGAAAAGGCCCACCAAGCCAACGAUCUGUAGCUGGUCUGAGAGGACGAGCAGCCACACUGGAAAUGAGACACGGUCCAGACUCCUACGGGAGGCAGCAGUGGGGAAUUUUGGACAAUGGGCGAAAGCCUGAUCCAGCCAUUCCGCGUGCAGGAUGAAGGCCCUCGGGUUGUAAACUGCUUUUGUACAGAACGAAAAGGUUUCUACUAAUACUAGGAGCUCAUGACGGUACUGUAAGAAUAAGCACCGGCUAACUACGUGCCAGCCGCCGCAGUAA
RNAcentral lists this ribosomal RNA (500 nucleotides) under uncultured bacterium. RNAcentral's name for it is "partial 16S ribosomal RNA". It matches the Rfam family "Bacterial small subunit ribosomal RNA", at positions 30 to 523 of the family's 1533-position model. The record is from RNAcentral.